RNAcentral lists this ribosomal RNA (290 nucleotides) under uncultured Anoxybacillus sp. Its description in RNAcentral is "partial 16S ribosomal RNA". It matches the Rfam family "Bacterial small subunit ribosomal RNA", at positions 1091 to 1382 of the family's 1533-position model. Lineage: Bacteria; Bacillati; Bacillota; Bacilli; Caryophanales; Anoxybacillaceae. The record is from RNAcentral.
AACGAGCGCAACCCUCGACCUUAGUUGCCAGCAUUCAGUUGGGCACUCUAAGGUGACUGCCGGCUAAAAGUCGGAGGAAGUGGGGAUGACGUCAAAUCAUCAUGCCCCUUAUGACCUGGGCUACACACGUGCUACAAUGGGCGGUACAAAGGGUCGCGAACCCGCGAGGGGGAGCCAAUCCCAAAAAGCCGCUCUCAGUUCGGAUUGCAGGCUGCAACUCGCCUGCAUGAAGCCGGAAUCGCUAGUAAUCGCGGAUCAGCAUGCCGCGGUCGAAUACGUUCCCGGGCCUU